Molecule: long non-coding RNA, 1067 nt
Organism: Dreissena polymorpha
Lineage: Eukaryota; Metazoa; Mollusca; Bivalvia; Myida; Dreissenidae
Exons: 3
Source: RefSeq, a predicted model, not a curated record
AAUAUGCUAAUAAGCAUACGUACAAGUACAUUAAUAAGAACACGCCACUAUAUUUCAUUAACGGUUACUGCUUGACGUACCAAUUUUGAAAUUUGAAGAUUGUAUCUUUAUUGAGUUGAAUGUACAACUCAUGUUAAAAAAUAGUGUUUCAGUAUUCUUGGCGAACUUCUAGUUUUAACUUUACUGGAUAAGUUGAAACACACGUGAAGUUAGAGACGUGAAGUUAGAGAUUACACUCAGAAGCCACGUUGAAUUUAUUCUUGCGCAAUGCCUUUCCCACCAGAAACAAUAAACACCAAGACAACAAAUAUGGCUGAAGCGACUCGUUCACAUCACACGUGUACCACGUGCAAACAGAGACCGAAAACCAUGUUACUUCUGCCAUGCAGCCACCUGGCGGCCUGUGAACAAUGUGUCGCCGACAUGAGCUGCUGUCCGAUGUGCUCUAAAACUGUCAGCUGCGUACUACGAACUUUUAUCAUUUAAUUGGUUCAAAUAUCAAACAUCAAUUUAUCGUGACACUUUGUAUGUGGAAUGAUACGUUUUUAUGGUAGAGAAUCUGGUUGUUUUACUGUGUGUUUUUUUCCAGUUCAAUACAAGGUUUAUGUAUGUGUUGACAACUUCUUUUAUUGCAUCAGUUUGUAAAUAUAAGUAUAACACAUAAAUUCAUAAGUAGAUUCUUGUCAAAACGUAAACACCUUAAAUGACUGUUCAAUAGAUUUGUGCACAAUAUUGUGUUGAUAAACACAAUCCUGAAGUCUCGAUGAAUUAUAUAAAUUAUAAAUUUAAUUAUAAUUGCACGUAUUGGACUUUUAAAUGAACAUAAAAACGCACUAUUUAUUUGUAUGCUAUUGCUAGUUUAAUUGCUUAAUUUACAAAUAAUUGAAUUAUAAUAAAGCGUAAGUAAAACCUAGAUGGUAAAUUCAAUAUGUCGUUUUUAGGUUAUUUUUGAUAAUUAAUAUGUAUUUACCAUUUAAAAUCCGACCUCGCUAUUACAUUCAUACAAUGCACUCUAUAUUUAGAAUUAUAGAAUGAAAUAUUGGGAUUCCUUGAUAAUCGAUGUUUAC